UGGGGAAUUUUGCGCAAUGGACGAAAGUCCGACGCAGCAACGCCGCGUGGGUGAUGAAGGUCUUCGGACUGUAAAACCCUGUCGUCAGGGACGAAGGUGUGCAUGUUAAUAGCGUGUGCACUUGACGGUACCUGGAGAGGAAGCCCCGGCUAACUACGUGCCAGCAGCCGCGGUAAUACGUAGGGGGCAAGCGUUGUCCGGAUUUACUGGGUGUAAAGGGCGCGCAGGUGGGUCGGUAAGUCAGAGGUGAAAUCCUGCAGCUUAACUGCAGAACUGCCUUUGAUACUGCUGAUCUUGAGUACAGAAGAGAGAAGCGGAAUUCCAGGUGUAGUGGUGAAAUACGUAGAUAUCUGGAAGAACACCGGUGGCGAAGGCGGCUUCUUGGUCUGUUACUGACACUGAGGCGCGAAAGCGUGGGUAGCAAACAGG
This 429-nucleotide ribosomal RNA is filed under the name uncultured bacterium. Its description in RNAcentral is "partial 16S ribosomal RNA". It matches the Rfam family "Bacterial small subunit ribosomal RNA", at positions 355 to 776 of the family's 1533-position model. The record is from RNAcentral.